UGUUGCCUCUUUGUGGGCUUAUUCACACGACUGUGGUUUGGUUCCACAUACAAGCCGCAUUUUUUGCGGCUUGGGUGUGGACACAUUCACUUCAAUGGGGCCGCAAAAGAUGCGGAUAGCACUCCGUGUGCUGUCCCCAUCCGUUGCUCCGUUCCGUGGCCUCGCAAAA
Molecule: long non-coding RNA, 169 nt
Organism: Bufo bufo (common toad)
Lineage: Eukaryota; Metazoa; Chordata; Amphibia; Anura; Bufonidae
Exons: 3
Source: RefSeq, a predicted model, not a curated record